Molecule: ribosomal RNA, 261 nt
Filed under: uncultured bacterium
Lineage: Bacteria
Description: partial 16S ribosomal RNA
Rfam family: Bacterial small subunit ribosomal RNA
Source: RNAcentral
UAGUGGCGGACGGGUGAGUAACGCGUGGGUAACCUGCCUUAUACAGGGGGAUAACACUUAGAAAUAGGUGCUAAUACCGCAUAAGCGCACGGGGCUGCAUGGCCCAGUGUGAAAAACUCCGGUGGUAUAAGAUGGACCCGCGUCUGAUUAGCUUGUUGGCGGGGUAACGGCCCACCAAGGCGACGAUCAGUAGCCGGCCUGAGAGGGUGGACGGCCACAUUGGGACUGAGACACGGCCCAAACUCCUACGGGAGGCAGCAG